UAUAGUUUCGAUUAGAUCCUAACGUUGUCAUUUGCUAAGCUAAGUUCGGGGUUACGUCGCAGUUCAGAAGAAUUACGUGGAGGUUGACUUAGAUCUUCAGUACUUCCUACUAGAAUUGGAGUGAUAGACGUAGAAGUUACAGUUCCAGUAAAGAAUCUAGUAAAGUCUUGACUAGAAGAUUUUCCAGCAACGUGAAGAGUACGCCUGUUCCAGUACUUAUCUACUCUAUUUGCGAUAGUGUGGAAACAGUUGAUAAUUCUGCAGAAUUCUUCACUCCAGCUAGAGAGAGAUCGGCCGCUAGAAGAUCAUCGAGUCCGGUUGUUGGUGAAGGAACGAUGGGUCAUAGCAGUUCUAUGUCAUAUGAUACAGUGGGGCACGACAUUGACACAACAGGAUCGCUUUCUCCUGUGGAUCUAAGAAGACAGAGCCCUCCGAGGGAGGAGCGCAGAUAUAACACUAGGAGACCUGAGGAACGGAGACAACCUGAUCGUCUAGGAUACAACGUUAGACUAGUUACGGAUCUUAUAAAACUCUUCAACCAGUAGAAGACGAGGAGAUGCCCGGAUAGGGAAGUACACUUACUUUGGAAUCUAGUUUCAGUACAGUAUAGUCUUACUCACAUAGCUAGCUUUCUACUUAGUAUUUAGCAGUGGAACCGUACCUUACUUAGGUAUAACACGUGUUAUCUUUCAGAACAGUACUGAUAGGGAUAUUAGGAUCUUUACUCGCAACACGAACCGUUCAGGGCUGCUUUAGUGGCGGAAACGUAGAAACUUUCGAAUUUAUUUUGACUUCUUUGUUUGCUUGUC
Long non-coding RNA from Bolinopsis microptera, 809 nucleotides. RefSeq lists it as uncharacterized. The record is from RefSeq and is a predicted model, not a curated record. Lineage: Eukaryota; Metazoa; Ctenophora; Tentaculata; Lobata; Bolinopsidae. The transcript is spliced from 3 exons.